This 253-nucleotide ribosomal RNA is filed under the name uncultured bacterium. RNAcentral's name for it is "partial 16S ribosomal RNA". It matches the Rfam family "Bacterial small subunit ribosomal RNA", at positions 524 to 776 of the family's 1533-position model. The record is from RNAcentral.
UACGUAGGGUGCGAGCGUUAAUCGGAAUUACUGGGCGUAGAGCGUGCGCAGGCGGUUCGUUGUGUCGGUGGUGAAAGCCCCGGGCUUAACCUGGGAAUGGCCAUGGAAACUGGCGAACUGGAGUGUGGCAGAGGGGGGUGGAAUUCCGCGUGUAGCAGUGAAAUGCGUAGAGAUGCGGAGGAACACCGAUGGCGAAGGCAGCCCCCUGGGCUAGCACUGACGCUCAGGCACGAAAGCGUGGGGAGCAAACAGG